UUGUAACUUGAUUCAAUCACGGGAUUGAAUCAAGGGGUAAAGGUUUGUUGGUGAGCCAAAGGGAAAACCAACGGGUAAAGGUUUGUUGGUGAGCCAAAGGGAAAACCAACGGAUUAAGGUUUGUUGGUGAGCCAAAGGGAAAACCAACGGGAUUUUAGGUUUGUUGGUGAGCCGAGGGUAAAACCAACGUGUAAGGGUUUGAUUGUGAUCCCGGGAAAACAAUCGGAGUGGUUCUAGUCGGUGAGCCUGGGAAAACCGACCGAGUUCGUUGUGCGCUCGUAAAACAACAAGUUGGGUUGUGAGCUUGUAAAACAACCGGCUGUAAUCUGUAGGAUUAUAGUGAAAUUCCCAAGAAGUCUUG
Molecule: long non-coding RNA, 361 nt
Filed under: Phoenix dactylifera (date palm)
Lineage: Eukaryota; Viridiplantae; Streptophyta; Magnoliopsida; Arecales; Arecaceae
Description: long non-coding RNA (PDAC_LNC019019)
Source: RNAcentral